CACUGCCCGUCAAGCCAUGGAAGCUGUUUCUACCUGAAUAGAGUGAGCUAACCGCAAGGAGGCAGCUUUACACGGUAGGAGGAGUGACGUGGGGUU
Molecule: ribosomal RNA, 96 nt
Filed under: uncultured bacterium
Lineage: Bacteria
Description: partial 16S ribosomal RNA
Source: RNAcentral